Non-coding RNA from Halocaridina rubra (Hawaiian volcano shrimp), 73 nucleotides. NCBI's taxonomy places the organism in Eukaryota, Metazoa, Arthropoda, Malacostraca, Decapoda, Atyidae. The record is from the annotation of a GenBank genome assembly.
GACUGCUGUGGUCAGAUGGUAGGGCAUAUGACAUUGAUUCAUGAGGUCAUGGGUUCAAGACCCACCACAAUCU